CCCUUAGAUGUUCUGGGCCGCACGCGUGCUACACUGAGUGGAUCAGCGGGUCAGGUUGCGCGAAAGCGUUUCCUAAUCUUUAAAUCCGCUCGUGAUGGGGAUUGACGGUUGCAAUUUUCUGUCAUGAACGAGGAAUACCUUGUAAGCGCGGGUCAUCAUCCCGCGCUGAAUACGUCCCUGCCCUUUGUACACACCGCCCGUCGCUCCUACCGAUUGAGUGGUCCGGUGAGGCUUUGGGAUCUGAGCGUAAAGAGCGUUUCGCUGUUUCUGCUCGGAAAACUCAGUCGAACCUUAUCAUUUAGAGGAAGGAGAAGUCGUAACA
This 322-nucleotide ribosomal RNA is filed under the name uncultured eukaryote. RNAcentral describes it as "partial 18S ribosomal RNA". It matches the Rfam family "Eukaryotic small subunit ribosomal RNA", at positions 1470 to 1796 of the family's 1831-position model. The record is from RNAcentral.